UAUUAUUUAACGUGUGAUUUUGAAUAUCUAAGUAUUAAUAGUUAUGUUCUUUAAACUUAAAGAAUAUGGCGGUGUUUUAGUCCUUUUAGAGGAAUCUGUCCUGUAAUCGAUAAUACACGAUUUUUGUUACUUAAUCUUUUUAUAGCUUAUAUACCGCCGUCGGUAAGAUUUUCUUAUGAAGAGUGGGAAGUUUCUUUAUUUAUUAUUUUAUUUUAUGUCAGGUCAAGGUGUAGCUUAUGGUUGAGAAGAGAUGGAUUACAAUGAAUUUAUUUACAUGGAUGAUAUGAUGAAAUUUGUAUUUGAAAGUGGAUUUAAUUGUAAAAUUAUUGAAGAUAAUAUUUUGAUUUAGGCUCUGGAAUGUGUACAUAUCGCCCGUCGUUCUCGUUUUAAGAUGAG
This 396-nucleotide ribosomal RNA is filed under the name Apterogryllus sp. n. Van. RNAcentral describes it as "partial 12S ribosomal RNA". The record is from RNAcentral. Lineage: Eukaryota; Metazoa; Arthropoda; Insecta; Orthoptera; Gryllidae.